This 85-nucleotide transfer RNA is filed under the name Acinetobacter baumannii. RNAcentral's name for it is "tRNA-Leu". It matches the Rfam family "tRNA". Rfam says of the family: Transfer RNA (tRNA) molecules are approximately 80 nucleotides in length. Their secondary structure includes four short double-helical elements and three loops (D, anti-codon, and T loops). Lineage: Bacteria; Pseudomonadati; Pseudomonadota; Gammaproteobacteria; Moraxellales; Moraxellaceae. RNAcentral also lists the same sequence under 207 other names. The record is from RNAcentral.
GCGGAAGUGGCGGAAUUGGUAGACGCACCAGAUUUAGGUUCUGGCGCCGUAAGGUGUGAGAGUUCAAGUCUCUCCUUCCGCACCA